Molecule: ribosomal RNA, 575 nt
Filed under: Clostridioides difficile
Lineage: Bacteria; Bacillati; Bacillota; Clostridia; Peptostreptococcales; Peptostreptococcaceae
Description: partial 23S ribosomal RNA
Rfam family: Bacterial large subunit ribosomal RNA
Source: RNAcentral
ACCUAAGCUGAGGCCGAAAGGCGUAGGUGAUGGACAACAGGUUGAUAUUCCUGUACUACCGAUAACCGUUUGAGAGAAGGGAUGACACAGUAGGAUAAGCUAAGCACACUGUUGGUUAUGUGUGCCCAAGCAUUGAGGCAGUCAAAGUAGGCAAAUCCGCUUUGAUAAUGCUGGGAUGUGAUGGGGAGCGAAAUUUAGUAGCGAAGUAGCUGAUUUCACACUGUCAAGAAAAGUCUCUAUCGAGGUUAAAGGUACCCGUACCGCAAACCGACACAGGUGGGUGAGGAGAGUAUCCUAAGGCCAGCGAGAGAACUGUUGUUAAGGAACUCGGCAAAAUGACCCCGUAACUUAGGGAUAAGGGGUGCCACCAUCAGGUGGCCGCAGAGAAUAGGCCCAAGCGACUGUUUACCAAAAACAUAGGUUUCUGCUAAGUCGCAAGACGAUGUAUAGGAGCUGACGCCUGCCCGGUGCUGGAAGGUUAAGGGGAUCUGUUAGAGCAAUCGAAGCAGUGAACUUAAGCCCCAGUAAACGGCGGCCGUAACUAUAACGGUCCUAAGGUAGCGAAAUUCCUUGUC